AUGGGUGUCCCCCAGAACAGAGCAACCACGAGAACCUGAUCCCAGGUCGAGUCACACUGAGGAGGAUGAGGACCAGGCCCCCGGCAUCCAAGAGGGAUCCCCCCCGCUCCAGCCAGGACCAGACCAUAUCAGCCAGCUGGUCAAUAAGUCUCCACCAGGAACCCUGAGGGUCCAGACUGGAACCCGGCCACAGAACAGAGAGACUGAGUCAGAGGAAAGAAGGAGCACAGUACAUCAGUACUGCAUCAAGCAUUUUUAGUUGUUUUCGGUGCCGGAAUGGACCCAAAUACUCUCACCUGCCAUCACUAGAAGCUGGAAGUUCUCCUUUCCAUCACUCAGCAACAUUUGUGGCCUGCCUACUGUGUGCCAGGCGCUGUAUGGGGGCAGAGAAAUAAACCAAACAGACAGAGCAGGCUCCUGGGACGCUCACAGUCUCUCUGGGCAGACAGACAAUAAACAGAGAGUUACUCAAUUGAUCAGUUAAUUACAGUUGUGACACAUAUGGUGAAGAAAGGAACCUCAGAGGUGAUGAGAAGGAGCCCUCGCCUGCUUUCUGGGCUCACGGAAGUCACUCUUAGGAAUGUGACUUUUCAGCUGGGAUCUGAAGGAUCUGAAGGAAUUUGUGAGUUGUUGAGGGCUAGAUUGAAAGAAUCCAGGCAGAGGGAACAACAUACACAAAACUCGGAAGUGGAAGGGAACGUGACAUUCCAGGUUCCGAAAAAUGUCCAGCGACCACACCACAUGGAGCAGGCAGGAGGGCAGGACCAGAGGUGAGGCCGGAGGUCAGCUGGGCCAGACAGUCAGCCUCCCAAAAGCAGGGGUUCAGACUUUGAUCGAUACCCCAAGAGCAGCAGGAGUCGUGGGGAGCCUCCGGGCCAGGCUUGCUCCUCAGGUCACUCUGCUGUGGUGUGGAGGGUGGAGGAGGGACCACAGUGAGCAACAGACACCGGCUGGGCCAAUGAAGAGGCUCCGUGCACAGAGGUGGACGGAUUCAAGAGAGCUGUACAGGAUGAGAAGGAUUGCCACCAAGCUUAACUGCAAAAUUGUCCCGGAAUGCCUUACCCAAGCACGCUCAUCGUUCUUGUUUGUCCCCAGACCCACUCCACACCUACUAUCGCCGCGGGAGGCUGGCCUCUGUGGGCUUCACGGGGGACCUCCUGCACCUCUGGCUUCCUGUGGGGUUUGGCCGAUGGUAGGCACCAGGAGAUGAGAGGAGGAGAGGCUGUUACUUCUCUGCCCUCUGCCUGCCUUAGUGCCCCAUCCGCCCGCCCUCAAGACUACAGCCGCUGUCAGGUGGCCUGUCCUCUGCCCUCCCUGGGUCCAGUUCUCGCGGGGCUCUGGCAGCACCAAUGCCUUGCCUCACCUC
This is a long non-coding RNA of Equus quagga, 1366 nucleotides long. RefSeq lists it as uncharacterized. Lineage: Eukaryota; Metazoa; Chordata; Mammalia; Perissodactyla; Equidae. The transcript is spliced from 3 exons. The record is from RefSeq and is a predicted model, not a curated record.